GGGAUUAGUGGCGAACGGGUGAGUAACACGUGAGUAACCUGCCCUUAACUCUGGGAUAAGCCUGGGAAACUGGGUCUAAUACCGGAUAUGACUCCUCAUCGCAUGGUGGGGGGUGGAAAGCUUUUGUGGUUUUGGAUGGACUCGCGGCCUAUCAGCUUGUUGGUGAGGUAAUGGCUCACCAAGGCGACGACGGGUAGCCGGCCUGAGAGGGUGACCGGCCACACUGGGACUGAGACACGGCCCAGACUCCUACGGGAGGCAGCAGUGGGGAAUAUUGCACAAUGGGCGCAAGCCUGAUGCAGCGACGCCGCGUGAGGGAUGACGGCCUUCGGGUUGUAAACCUCUUUCAGUAGGGAAGAAGCGAAAGUGACGGUACCUGCAGAAGAAGCGCCGGCUAACUACGUGCCAGCAGCCGCGG
RNAcentral lists this ribosomal RNA (418 nucleotides) under bacterium S6-023-16S. RNAcentral describes it as "bacterial SSU rRNA". It matches the Rfam family "Bacterial small subunit ribosomal RNA", at positions 88 to 520 of the family's 1533-position model. The record is from RNAcentral.